AAUGGCAGGUCAGCACACUGCCGUGAAUACGUUCCCGGGCCUUGUACACACCGCCCGUCACACCAUGAGAGUUGGGAAUACCCGAAGCCUGUGAGCUAACAUUUAUGAGGCAGCAGUCGAAGGUAGAAUCAAUGAUUGGGGUGAAGUCGUAACAAGGUAAC
RNAcentral lists this ribosomal RNA (161 nucleotides) under uncultured bacterium. Its description in RNAcentral is "partial 16S ribosomal RNA". It matches the Rfam family "Bacterial small subunit ribosomal RNA", at positions 1340 to 1500 of the family's 1533-position model. The record is from RNAcentral.